Molecule: ribosomal RNA, 403 nt
Filed under: uncultured bacterium
Lineage: Bacteria
Description: partial 16S ribosomal RNA
Rfam family: Bacterial small subunit ribosomal RNA
Source: RNAcentral
GACGAACGCUGGCGGCGUGCCUAAUACAUGCAAGUCGAACGCAGUGGGGACGGGUGAGUAACCCGUGGGUAACCGCCCAUCAGAGGGGAUAACACUUGGAAAAAGGUGCUAAACCGAUACUGAUGGAUGGACACUACGUGCAUUAGCUAGUUGGUGGGGUAACGGCUCACCAAGGCGACGAUGCAUAGCUGACCUGAGAGGUUGAUCGGCCACACUGGGACUGAGACACGGCCCAGACUCCUACGGUAGGCAGCAGUAGGGAAUCGUCGGCAAGGGACGAAAGUCUGACCGAGCAACGCCGCGUGAGUGAAGAAGGUUUUCGGAUCGUAAAACUCUGUUGUUAGAGAAGCGGUAUCUAACCAGAAAGCCACGGCUAACUACGUGCCAGCAGCCGCGGUAAUUC